Molecule: ribosomal RNA, 731 nt
Filed under: uncultured bacterium
Lineage: Bacteria
Description: bacterial SSU rRNA
Rfam family: Bacterial small subunit ribosomal RNA
Source: RNAcentral
CAGAAGGGGAUAACACUUGGAAACAGGUGCUAAUACCGUAUAACACUAUUUUCCGCAUGGAAGAAAGUUGAAAGGCGCUUUUGCGUCACUGAUGGAUGGACCCGCGGUGCAUUAGCUAGUUGGUGAGGUAACGGCUCACCAAGGCCACGAUGCAUAGCCGACCUGAGAGGGUGAUCGGCCACACUGGGACUGAGACGCGGCCCAGACUCCUACGGGAGGCAGCAGUAGGGAAUCUUCGGCAAUGGACGAAAGUCUGACCGAGCAACGCCGCGUGAGUGAAGAAGGUUUUCGGAUCGUAAAACUCUGUUGUUAGAGAAGAACAAGGAUGAGAGUAGAACGUUCGUCCCUUGACGGUAUCUAACCAGAAAGCCACGGCUAACUACGUGCCAGCAGCCGCGGUAAUACGUAGGUGGCAAGCGUUGUCCGGAUUUAUUGGGCGUAAAGCGAGCGCAGGCGGUUUCUUAAGUCUGAUGUGAAAGCCCCCGGCUCAACCGGGGAGGGUCAUUGGAAACUGGGAGACUUGAGUGCAGAAGAGGAGAGUGGAAUUCCAUGUGUAGCGGUGAAAUGCGUAGAUAUAUGGAGGAACACCAGUGGCGAAGGCGGCUCUCUGGUCUGUAACUGACGCUGAGGCUCGAAAGCGUGGGGAGCGAACAGGAUUAGAUACCCUGGUAGUCCACGCCGUAAACGAUGAGUGCUAAGUGUUGGAGGGUUUCCGCCCUUCAGUGCUGCAG